Molecule: non-coding RNA, 86 nt
Filed under: Corethron pennatum
Lineage: Eukaryota; Bacillariophyta; Corethrophyceae; Corethrales; Corethraceae
Source: RNAcentral
GCCUACAAUAAAAGAAACGGACAGUACAUGUAAAAGAAAUACAAGAAGAGAUCACACGUUUGUUGAAUUCUUAUUUUCCCCGAUCC